RNAcentral lists this ribosomal RNA (1372 nucleotides) under uncultured bacterium. Its description in RNAcentral is "bacterial SSU rRNA". It matches the Rfam family "Bacterial small subunit ribosomal RNA", at positions 28 to 1381 of the family's 1533-position model. The record is from RNAcentral.
GAUGAACGCUGGCGGCGUGCCUAAUACAUGCAAGUCGAGCGAACGGACGAGAAGCUUGCUUCUCUGAUGUUAGCGGCGGACGGGUGAGUAACACGUGGAUAACCUACCUAUAAGACUGGGAUAACUUCGGGAAACCGUAGCUAAUACCGGAUAAUAUUUUGAACCGCAUGGUUCAAAAGUGAAGGACGGUCUUGCUGUCACUUAUAGAUGGAUCCGCGCUGCAUUAGCUAGUUGGUAAGGUAACGGCUUACCAAGGCAACGAUGCAUAGCCGACCUGAGAGGGUGAUCGGCCACACUGGAACUGAGACACGGUCCAGACUCCUACGGGAGGCAGCAGUAGGGAAUCUUCCGCAAUGGGCGAAAGCCUGACGGAGCAACGCCGCGUGAGUGAUGAAGGUCUUCGGAUCGUAAAACUCUGUUAUUAGGGAAGAACAUAUGUGUAAGUAACUGUGCACAUCUUGACGGUACCUAAUCAGAAAGCCACGGCUAACUACGUGCCAGCAGCCGCGGUAAUACGUAGGUGGCAAGCGUUAUCCGGAAUUAUUGGGCGUAAAGCGCGCGUAGGCGGUUUUUUAAGUCUGAUGUGAAAGCCCACGGCUCAACCGUGGAGGGUCAUUGGAAACUGGAAAACUUGAGUGCAGAAGAGGAAAGUGGAAUUCCAUGUGUAGCGGUGAAAUGCGCAGAGAUAUGGAGGAACACCAGUGGCGAAGGCGACUUUCUGGUCUGUAACUGACGCUGAUGUGCGAAAGCGUGGGGAUCAAACAGGAUUAGAUACCCUGGUAGUCCACGCCGUAAACGAUGAGUGCUAAGUGUUAGGGGGUUUCCGCCCCUUAGUGCUGCAGCUAACGCAUUAAGCACUCCGCCUGGGGAGUACGACCGCAAGGUUGAAACUCAAAGGAAUUGACGGGGACCCGCACAAGCGGUGGAGCAUGUGGUUUAAUUCGAAGCAACGCGAAGAACCUUACCAAAUCUUGACAUCCUUUGACAACUCUAGAGAUAGAGCCUUCCCCUUCGGGGGACAAAGUGACAGGUGGUGCAUGGUUGUCGUCAGCUCGUGUCGUGAGAUGUUGGGUUAAGUCCCGCAACGAGCGCAACCCUUAAGCUUAGUUGCCAUCAUUAAGUUGGGCACUCUAAGUUGACUGCCGGUGACAAACCGGAGGAAGGUGGGGAUGACGUCAAAUCAUCAUGCCCCUUAUGAUUUGGGCUACACACGUGCUACAAUGGACAAUACAAAGGGCAGCGAAACCGCGAGGUCAAGCAAAUCCCAUAAAGUUGUUCUCAGUUCGGAUUGUAGUCUGCAGCUCGACUACAUGAAGCUGGAAUCGCUAGUAAUCGUAGAUCAGCAUGCUACGGUGAAUACGUUCCCGGGUCU